RNAcentral lists this ribosomal RNA (511 nucleotides) under uncultured bacterium. Its description in RNAcentral is "partial 16S ribosomal RNA". It matches the Rfam family "Bacterial small subunit ribosomal RNA", at positions 29 to 507 of the family's 1533-position model. The record is from RNAcentral.
ACGCACGCUGGCGGCGUGCCUAAUACCUGCCAGUCGAGCGAGCGAAACUAACAGAUUUACUUCGGUAAUGACGUUAGGAAAGCGAGCGGCGGAUGGGUGAGUAACACGUGGGGAACCUGCCCCAUAGUCUGGGAUACCACUUGGAAACAGGUGCUAAUACCGGAUAAGAAAGCAGAUCGCAUGAUCAGCUUUUAAAAGGCGGCGUAAGCUGUCGCUAUGGGAUGGCCCCGCGGUGCAUUAGCUAGUUGGUAAGGUAAAGGCUUACCAAGGCGAUGAUGCAUAGCCGAGUUGAGAGACUGAUCGGCCACAUUGGGACUGAGACACGGCCCAAACUCCUACGGGAGGCAGCAGUAGGGAAUCUUCCACAAUGGACGCAAGUCUGAUGGAGCAACGCCGCGUGAGUGAAGAAGGUUUUCGGAUCGUAAAGCUCUGUUGUUGGUGAAGAAGGAUAGAGGUAGUAACUGGCCUUUAUUUGACGGUAAUCAACCAGAAAGUCACGGCUAACUACGUG